CUACGGGUCGCUGCAGUGAGGAAUUUUGCGCAAUGGGGGAAACCCUGACGCAGCAACGCCGCGUGAGUGAUGAAGGCCUUCGAGUCGUAAAGCUCUGUCAAGUGGGAAGAACCUACUAAGUGCCAAUACCACUUAGUACUGACGGUACCACUGAAGGAAGCACCGGCUAACUCCGUGCCAGCAGCCGCGGUAAUACGGGGGGUGCAAGCGUUACUCGGAAUUAUUGGGCGUAAAGGGCGCGCAGGCGGCCAGGUAAGUCAGAUGUGAAAGCCCGGGGCUCAACCCCGGAAGUGCAUUUGAACUGCUUAGCUUGAGUAUGGGAGAGGGAAGUGGAAUUCCUGGUGUAGAGGUGAAAUUCGUAGAUAUCAGGAGGAACACCGGUGGCGAAGGCGACUUCCUGGACCAAUACUGACGCUGAGGCGCGAAGGCGUGGGUAGCAAACAGGAUUAGAUACCCGGGUAGUC
This 464-nucleotide ribosomal RNA is filed under the name uncultured bacterium. RNAcentral's name for it is "partial 16S ribosomal RNA". It matches the Rfam family "Bacterial small subunit ribosomal RNA", at positions 339 to 795 of the family's 1533-position model. The record is from RNAcentral.